UACGAAGGGGGCUAGCGUUGUUCGGAAUUACUGGGCGUAAAGGGCGCGUAGGCGGUCCUUCAAGUCAGGCGUGAAAGCCCCGGGCUCAACCUGGGAACCGCGCUUGAGACUGGCGGGCUAGAGCUCGGGAGAGGAUGGUGGAAUUCCCAGUGUAGAGGUGAAAUUCGUAGAUAUUGGGAAGAACACCGGUGGCGAAGGCGGCUCUCUGGACCGACACUGACGCUGAGGCGCGAAAGCGUGGGGAGCAAACAGG
This 253-nucleotide ribosomal RNA is filed under the name uncultured bacterium. RNAcentral describes it as "partial 16S ribosomal RNA". It matches the Rfam family "Bacterial small subunit ribosomal RNA", at positions 524 to 776 of the family's 1533-position model. The record is from RNAcentral.